UACGGGGGGGGCAAGCGUUGUUCGGAAUUACUGGGCGUAAAGGGCGCGUAGGCGGCCUUCUAAGUCGGACGUGAAAUCCCUCGGCUUAACCGAGGAACUGCGUCCGAUACUGAAAGGCUUGAAUCCGGGAGAGGGAUGUGGAAUUCCAGGUGUAGCGGUGAAAUGCGUAGAUAUCUGGAGGAACACCGGUGGCGAAGGCGGCAUCCUGGACCGGCAUUGACGCUGAGGCGCGAAAGCCAGGGGAGCAAACGGG
RNAcentral lists this ribosomal RNA (253 nucleotides) under uncultured bacterium. RNAcentral's name for it is "partial 16S ribosomal RNA". It matches the Rfam family "Bacterial small subunit ribosomal RNA", at positions 524 to 776 of the family's 1533-position model. The record is from RNAcentral.